GACGAACGCUGGCGGCGUGCUUAACACAUGCAAGUCGAACGGAAAGGCCCUGCUUGCAGGGUACUCGAGUGGCGAACGGGUGAGUAACACGUGGGUGAUCUGCCCUGCACUUCGGGAUAAGCCUGGUAAACUGGGUCUAAUACCGGAUAGGAGCCAUUUUUAUUGUGAUGGUUGGAAAGUUUUUUCGGUGUAGGAUGAGCUCGCGGCCUAUCUGCUUGUUGGUGGGGUAAUGGCCUACCAAGGCGGUGACCGGUAGCCGGCCUGAGAGGGUGGACGGCCACAGUGGGACUGGGAUACGGCCCAGACUCCUACGGGAGGCAGCAGUGGGGAAGAUUGCACAAUGGGCGCAAGCCUGAUGCAGCGAGGCCGCGUGGGGGAUGACGGCCUUCGGGUUGUAAACUCCGUUCGCUAGGGACGAAGCGUUUUGUGACGGUACCUAGAUAAGAAGCACCGGAUAACUACGUG
Molecule: ribosomal RNA, 465 nt
Filed under: uncultured bacterium
Lineage: Bacteria
Description: partial 16S ribosomal RNA
Rfam family: Bacterial small subunit ribosomal RNA
Source: RNAcentral